CCUGUUCCUCCGGAAACUCUGGAGAAAACAACGUUACAAAGCAACUGAGUACAAGGUACUCGCAAGACUUACGGGAGAUCUAAACUAGAUAUGCAACAAGUCUCAAAAUGAUGGAUAAUAUGGUGGGAUUGUGCAGCAGCAAUAUAUAUAUCUGGAGAGAUACACUAAUGACAUCGUCUAAUUAGAGGAUAAGAAGCGUGUACCAAGUGAGGUGAUAAUCUAUCAACUAACACCCAUCAAACACAACCUCUUAUCACCCCCUCAACCCUUUGUGAGGAAAUGAUCCAAAGGCACUCACACUUAAGCAGUUUUAAGCAUAUCCAUGAUUAAAGGCUAAUUACUACUCAAGUUUAAGAGAUUAAGUUAAUUAAAUGGUAUGAGUUCUCUAUGAUCAAGUAAUGACCAACCAAGUCGUCCAUGACCGCGGACACGACAUUCCGAAAGAUUUAUCCCUGCAGGGUGUGCCAAUUUACCCGUAUACGUUCGUCCAACCCUUAUUGCCACUCGAGUAGGAACACAUAAAGACGUGUGUCGGCAGGAUUGGGCGACAUGACGUUUCCAAGCCCCACAACUAAUCCAGGGGACCAACCCAACUAAGUCUAAUCCGAAACGAGAGCCCGGCCGAAGCGUCGUAUGGACUCAAGAGUUGCGUGGACAGCUGGUAGUGGUUCAGUGUCCGCAGAAUGACCACUCCAGACUAGUGCCGCAAUCCUAUAUGUAUGCAAGUACCAACAAAUCUCCAACACAACACCAGUAUAUAUGCGAUAUGCCAAAUGAAACGCCCAAACUAUGUGGCCCCUGGAAGAGCUAUGAAACGAGUACUAAGCCAAGGGGGAACCCAUAUAUUCUCCCACGAGCGGUUAGCGCGAAGUUUCUUGGGUCGGCGAAAACGAGAACUCAGUCCUUAGGUCGGCGCCAAUGGAACAAAACACCAAUGCGUUAGCACGGCCUCCCAUCGUUGCCUUCUGCAGGUAAUAACAUGUCACAAAUAAUAAUUGCAAAUAAAUACAGAAAGUAGCAUGUGGAUGUAGCAAUUGUAAAACCCCAAGUAAGGACACUUGACUAGCAAUCUAAGCAGACAGAAAAUGACCAAUUAGGGCAAUAACAAACAUGUGACAUGGUAAUAGGAUAAGAAACAAGACAACAGGCAAUUUGAGUAGAGCUGACUAAAGCUAUACAAUCCUAGAGGUAUCGUGACAAGAACCGAGAACAUAACUUAAUGCAAGAAUGAGAGAGAGGCAUUGGGUAUAAUGAACAUGUUCAAGGAAUGGCUGCUUGCCUGGAUUCUCGGUCGCUGGGCACCGAGAGAGGGGAUUCGAAGAAGUGUGGGAACCCGGAUCGUCGGCGGAGUAAGUCGGAGUCGCUAUCGUAAAGAACCAAAUCACACAAUACGCAAAUAAGUAACCAUUCACAGGUGCAAUGCACAAUACAACAUGAGAUGGCAUGUGACAACACGAUGCAACAAUAUGCAAGUGAAAUGAUUCCAUUUAGCAACAAA
Molecule: long non-coding RNA, 1498 nt
Filed under: Brachypodium distachyon (stiff brome)
Lineage: Eukaryota; Viridiplantae; Streptophyta; Magnoliopsida; Poales; Poaceae
Description: long non-coding RNA (BDIS_LNC005531)
Source: RNAcentral